This 376-nucleotide ribosomal RNA is filed under the name uncultured bacterium. Its description in RNAcentral is "bacterial SSU rRNA". It matches the Rfam family "Bacterial small subunit ribosomal RNA", at positions 523 to 898 of the family's 1533-position model. The record is from RNAcentral.
AUACGUAGGCGGCAAGCGUUGUCCGGAAUCAUUGGGCGUAAAGGGAGCGCAGGCGGAACAUUAAGCGGAUCUUAAAAGUGCGGGGCUCAACCCCGUGAUGGGGUCCGAACUGAGGUUCUUGAGUGCAGGAGAGGAAAGCGGAAUUCCCAGUGUAGCGGUGAAAUGCGUAGAUAUUGGGAAGAACACCAGUGGCGAAGGCGGCUUUCUGGACUGUAACUGACGCUGAGGCUCGAAAGCCAGGGUAGCGAACGGGAUUAGAUACCCCGGUAGUCCUGGCCGUAAACGAUGGAUGCUAGGUGUAGGGGGUAUCGACCCCUCCUGUGCCGGAGCAAACGCAAUAAGUAUCCCGCCUGGGGAGUACGACCGCAAGGUUGAA